GCCUGGGUGGCUCAGUCAGUCGAGCAUCUGGCUUCGGCUUAGGUCAUGAUCUCAUAGUUUGUGGGUUCGAGCCCUGCAUCAGGCU
Molecule: non-coding RNA, 85 nt
Organism: Felis catus (domestic cat)
Lineage: Eukaryota; Metazoa; Chordata; Mammalia; Carnivora; Felidae
Source: Rfam